Molecule: transfer RNA, 67 nt
Filed under: Amblythyreus gestroi
Lineage: Eukaryota; Metazoa; Arthropoda; Insecta; Hemiptera; Phymatidae
Description: tRNA-Pro
Source: RNAcentral
CAGCAAGUAGUUUAUUUAAAAUGUUAGUUUUGGGUACUGAUGAUGGAGCUAUGUUCUCUCUUGCUGA